AUCCAUCCCAGGGCAGCCCCUUUCCCCCACCUGCCAAGCCCAAGUGUGUGCUCCUUGCCCACCGUCGGUUUCUGGAGUCUGCGGGUGGGUGUUUAGAUAGCGCCAUCCGUUGCGGCGUUUAGAGUCCACCAACAGGUGAUGUCCUAGGGCACUUGUCUUUGCCUUUCUGGCUUCCUUCGCUUAGUAUGAGGGUCUCUCGUUCCAGCCCCGCGGCGGCAGAUGGCACUCGUUCUGCCGCUUUUUCCUGGCUGUGUGCGAUGCCAUCGCAUGGAUGUCCCCGGGCCUUCGAAGUGCACUCACCUGUCAGUGGACCUUUAGGUGGCUUCCAGAUCUUGGCUCUGCCCCGCGGCGGCAGAUGGCACUCGUUCUGCCGCUUUUUCCUGGCUGUGUGCGAUGCCAUCGCAUGGAUGUCCCCGGGCCUUCGAAGUGCACUCACCUGUCAGUGGACCUUUAGGUGGCUUCCAGAUCUUGGCUCUGCCCCGCGGCGGCAGAUGGCACUCGUUCUGCCGCUUUUUCCUGGCUGUGUGCGAUGCCAUCCCCGGGCCUUCGAAGUGCACUCACCUGUCAGUGGACCUUUAGGUGGCUUCCAGAUCUUGGCUCUGGUGAGUAGUGCGGCGACAGACAGAGGGUGCCCGGGUCUGCUUCCGGGAAAGUUUGGUCCCGGUGAAAUGGAGCUGUUUGGAGGCCGGCUUCGGUCUUUGUGUG
RNAcentral lists this long non-coding RNA (705 nucleotides) under Sus scrofa (pig). RNAcentral describes it as "lncRNA (ENSSSCG00070012130.1)". The record is from RNAcentral. Lineage: Eukaryota; Metazoa; Chordata; Mammalia; Artiodactyla; Suidae.